RNAcentral lists this ribosomal RNA (301 nucleotides) under uncultured bacterium. RNAcentral describes it as "partial 16S ribosomal RNA". It matches the Rfam family "Bacterial small subunit ribosomal RNA", at positions 509 to 808 of the family's 1533-position model. The record is from RNAcentral.
CAGCCGCCGCGGGAAUACGUAGGUCCCGAGCGUUGUCCGGAUUUAUUGGGCGUAAAGGGAGCGCAGGCGGUUUAGUAAGUCUGAAGUUAAAGGCAUUGGCUCAACCAAUGUAUGCUUUGGAAACUGUUAGACUUGAGUGCAGAAGGGGAGAGUGGAAUUCCAUGUGUAGCGGUGAAAUGCGUAGGUAUAUGGAGGGACACCGGUGGCGAAAGCGGCUCUCUGGUCUGUCACUGACGCUGAGGCUCGAAAGCGUGGGUAGCGAACAGGAUUAGAUACCCCGGUAGUCCCUGUCUCUUAUACA